AACGAACGCUGGCGGCAGGCUUAACACAUGCAAGUCGAGCGAGACCUUCGGGUCUAGCGGCGGACGGGUGAGUAACGCGUGGGAACGUGCCCUUCUCUACGGAAUAGCCCCGGGAAACUGGGAGUAAUACCGUAUACGCCCCUUGGGGGAAAGAUUUAUCGUAGAAGGAUCGGCCCGCGUUGGAUUAGGUAGUUGGUGGGGUAAUGGCCCACCAAGCCGACGAUCCAUAGCUGGUUUGAGAGGAUGAUCAGCCACACUGGGACUGAGACACGGCCCAGACUCCUACGGGAGGCAGCAGUGGGGAAUCUUAGACAAUGGGGGCAACCCUGAUCUAGCCAUGCCGCGUGAGUGAUGAAGGCCUUAGGGUUGUAAAGCUCUUUCAGCUGGGAAGAUAAUGACGGUACCAGCAGAAGAAGCCCCGGCUAACUCCGUG
This 433-nucleotide ribosomal RNA is filed under the name uncultured bacterium. Its description in RNAcentral is "partial 16S ribosomal RNA". It matches the Rfam family "Bacterial small subunit ribosomal RNA", at positions 29 to 507 of the family's 1533-position model. The record is from RNAcentral.